RNAcentral lists this ribosomal RNA (327 nucleotides) under uncultured eukaryote. RNAcentral describes it as "partial 18S ribosomal RNA". It matches the Rfam family "Eukaryotic small subunit ribosomal RNA", at positions 1470 to 1796 of the family's 1831-position model. The record is from RNAcentral.
CCCUUAGAUGUUCUGGACCGCACGCGCGUUACAAUGAAUCGUUCAACAGGUUUUCUUCCUGAGUCGAAAGGCUUGGGUAAUCCUUUAAAUACGGUUCGUGCUAGGGAUAGAUUUUUGCAAUUAUUAAUCUUGAACGAGGAAUAUUUAGUAAACGCAGGUCAUCAGCCUGCAUUGAUUACGUCCCUGCCCUUUGUACACACCGCCCGUCGCACCAACCGAUUGGAUGUUUUGUUGAAAUAUGUGGAUGUUUUUUGAGUGGAUUAAUUUUCGCUCGAUAGACAGAAACGUAUUAAAACUGAAUAUAUAGAGGAUGGUGAAGUCGUAACA